This 547-nucleotide ribosomal RNA is filed under the name Salmonella enterica subsp. enterica serovar Rubislaw str. SA20030553. RNAcentral describes it as "bacterial LSU rRNA". It matches the Rfam family "Bacterial large subunit ribosomal RNA", at positions 2396 to 2925 of the family's 2925-position model. The record is from RNAcentral. Lineage: Bacteria; Pseudomonadati; Pseudomonadota; Gammaproteobacteria; Enterobacterales; Enterobacteriaceae.
GGUGCGAAAGCAGGUCAUAGUGAUCCGGUGGUUCUGAAUGGAAGGGCCAUCGCUCAACGGAUAAAAGGUACUCCGGGGAUAACAGGCUGAUACCGCCCAAGAGUUCAUAUCGACGGCGGUGUUUGGCACCUCGAUGUCGGCUCAUCACAUCCUGGGGCUGAAGUAGGUCCCAAGGGUAUGGCUGUUCGCCAUUUAAAGUGGUACGCGAGCUGGGUUUAGAACGUCGUGAGACAGUUCGGUCCCUAUCUGCCGUGGGCGCUGGAGAACUGAGGGGGGCUGCUCCUAGUACGAGAGGACCGGAGUGGACGCAUCACUGGUGUUCGGGUUGUCAUGCCAAUGGCACUGCCCGGUAGCUAAAUGCGGAAGAGAUAAGUGCUGAAAGCAUCUAAGCACGAAACUUGCCCCGAGAUGAGUUCUCCCUGAGACUUUAGGUCUCCUGAAGGAACGUUGAAGACGACGACGUUGAUAGGCCGGGUGUGUAAGCGCAGCGAUGCGUUGAGCUAACCGGUACUAAUGAACCGUGAGGCUUAACCUUACAACGCCGAAG